ACGCUCGACACCUACUGGAGGCAGCAGUGGGGAAUAUUGCACAAUGGGGGAAACCCUGAUGCAGCGACGCCGCGUGAGUGAAGAAGUAUUUCGGUAUGUAAAGCUCUAUCAGCAGGGAAGAAGAUGACGGUACCUGAGUAAGAAGCCCCGGCUAACUACGUGCCAGCAGCCGCGGUAAUCUGAGGCGGGCUGGCAAGGC
Molecule: ribosomal RNA, 199 nt
Filed under: uncultured bacterium
Lineage: Bacteria
Description: partial 16S ribosomal RNA
Rfam family: Bacterial small subunit ribosomal RNA
Source: RNAcentral